UGGGGAAUUUUGGACAAUGGGCGAAAGCCUGAUCCAGCAAUGCCGCGUGUGUGAAGAAGGCCUUCGGGUUGUAAAGCACUUUUGUCCGGAAAGAAAUCCUUGGCUCUAAUACAGUCGGGGGAUGACGGUACCGGAAGAAUAAGCACCGGCUAACUACGUGCCAGCAGCCGCGGUAAUACGUAGGGUGCAAGCGUUAAUCGGAAUUACUGGGCGUAAAGCGUGCGCAGGCGGUUUGCUAAGACCGAUGUGAAAUCCCCGGGCUCAACCUGGGAACUGCAUUGGUGACUGGCAGGCUAGAGUAUGGCAGAGGGGGGUAGAAUUCCACGUGUAGCAGUGAAAUGCGUAGAGAUGUGGAGGAAUACCGAUGGCGAAGGCAGCCCCCUGGGCCAAAUACUGACGCUCAUGCACGAAAAGCGUGGGGAGCAAAACAGGAUUAGAUACCCUGGUAGUCCACGCCCUAAAACGAUGUCAACUAGUUGUUGGGGAUUCAUUUCCUUAGUAACGUAGCUAAACGCGUGAAGUUGACCGCCUGGGGAGUACGGUCGCAAAGAUUAAAAACUCAAAUGAAUUGACGGGGUCAUAGCUGUUUCCU
RNAcentral lists this ribosomal RNA (592 nucleotides) under uncultured bacterium. RNAcentral describes it as "partial 16S ribosomal RNA". It matches the Rfam family "Bacterial small subunit ribosomal RNA", at positions 355 to 1375 of the family's 1533-position model. The record is from RNAcentral.